UCUUAGGUUUGAAAACCCUAAUUAAUUUAGUCUGCAAUUGAUGGAGUGAGAUGUACGCUGUUGUUAAGGAAGGGUCAAGAGACGAAAGAAAUGGACUAAUGAGAAAGUGACAGCUUUGUAGCAAGACUUUGUUCAAGGCUGAAUGACUGAUGACAUGAAGGGAGAGAGGGAGAGAGAAAGAGAGAGAGGAAGAGAGAGUGUGUAAAAAUGGCUAACAAGACUGUUGAUGCAGCACUGGAUAUACAAGGAAGCUGCUGAUUUCACAGACAUGAAUAUCUUACUAACCCUGUUUCUAACUCUCGCAAGUCACAACCACUGCUACUAUUUCUGUCUAUCACCAUAACCAUAGAUCUGUGUAUCUAUCAUACAAAACAACUGGGAAAGAGGCAUAACAUGAAAGAGAGAUAUUAUCUAUAAAACUCAUAAAGGUAAAAAAAAAACAAAAAGGAAGCAAGACAAGUGAAUCUUUGUUUUGAAGAAGUCAAUCUUAACUGCGAAAGAAGAAUGAUUGUGUUCUGAUCAGUCCAAAAACCCAUUAAAAUCUAUCACAAAAACCGAAAUCUAGACAUGUAAUUAAGCACCAAUAUGCAGAAAGAAAUCAUGGUUAUUCCUCAGUAAAGGCAAACAAAUUAGAGAUUUGCAACAACAUAUAAAGCCUUCAGUGUAGAGGAUCUUAGGGAUGAGAGAUGGUGGGGGGGAGGGGGAAAGAAAUUAAGGAAAUUAACCUGUUGUUAGCAUAUUCAUAGAGGCGGCCACGGCUGGAGAAGACGAUGAGAGCAACUUCUGCAUCACAUAAGACCGAUAAUUCAUAGGCCUUUUUGAGCAAGCCGUUGCGGCGCUUACAGAAGGUGACUUGUCGAUUAGUGGUGUUCUCGAUCCGCUUAAUUUCGAUCUUCCCUCUUCCCAUUUUUCUUUGGGAAGACCCCUCCGAGGCUUGAUUCGGAAACUCCGUGGUUGAAAGCUGAAAUGAGCUAAACCAAAUUGAUGCUUCUAUAAGCAAAUUUUGUUACAUUUAAGCCUGAAUUGGAACUUGAAACAAAGCAAGAGAAUCCAAUACAUCCAAAAGAAGCAAAACAAGAAUUAUAGUGUAUCUUUCAGUAUUUUGCUCGCUAACCUGGUAAGGAAACUUAGGAGAAGUAGAUAAACAAGGGUGGAAACAACAAUUUUUUCUUUUUUUUUUUCUCCUCUGGUUGAAUUCACACGAUUCUUUGGUAUAGUUCUGCACAGGAGAGUUGCAGAAAAUGGAAAUGGUUUGUUCUAUCAGAUGGGUAUUUAUGGACACAAAAUAGACCAUCCAACAAUCAUCCAACUCACGCUAUUAUUCUCCCUAGAGAUCUACCACCACUAGUGUGUCCCUCUUCCUAUGCAAUUUGUUUUGAAGAAGAAGAAGAAGAAGAAGAAGAAGAUGGAGAGGGAGAGGGAGAGAUCGAGAAAGAUAGAGAUAAAAAAGGAAUUUGAUGUUCUCCUUCAGAUUCCAUCAACCGUCCAUUUUUUCUCAUGUAUGGCAGUAUGGGAAAAAGGAUGGGAGAGAUAAUAAAAAGAACUUUUGGAAAGUCACUAUUAAUGGGCUUGAAUAAGACCUUGGCUAAGUUGCACUCAAGCCUUUAUUAUCAAUGGGGAGGAGAAAAACCAAAACGAGAGGACCUCUCAUGUUUUUAACUUUUUGGAUUUGGAGUUGGCUAGCUUUCAUACAUUCAAGAUUUGUUUCUUACUUCAUCUGUGGUUGAAAACUUUUCACCUUUCUUUCUUUCUUCCUCUCUCUCUCCUCUCUCGCCCCCUCUCUCUCUCACACAACACAUAAAUUAUUAGUCUUUAUUUUUAUUGUAUGUAUUAAGGUUGUGACGUAAGUGAAGGUGACCCCCAUGUGAUGUCCUGCUCGCCAGUUCAUAUUCUUCAGUUCAUUUAUGGUAACAAUGCAGAAGUCCCCUUGAUAUAUUUUUUUUAUUAGCUGAUCUAACUUGUUACCAUCUUCCACGAGGGCCAUAGGUGGGUAUCCUCCAUGCCCACUAUAUAAUCUUCAUCUUUGUUUGUUCAACAAGGCAUAUGCAAUUUGUUAUCAUGUAAAAAAGUCUCUAAUAGUUUGUGAAUUGUGAUGCCACACAUUCCCGAUCCAUUGAAAUUUCAACCAUAGACAACAGUGUUCUCGUCCAUCUUCCUGGUUGCUUAUUCUAGCAUGCACGACAUGUCACAUAUCCCAUACCCACCUUGCCCUUCAUUCAGGACUUGUCAUUUCGUUUGCGAGAAUAUCUAUUAUGUUCCCUUGGGCAAUCUAAUUACCACAUCAUCCCCUUUAGCUCCCAAGCUAUUUCUCUCAAUACUACUAAUUCUUAUCUUCUCACCCUGUGGAGGGAAGACAUAAUGGGAAUGCCCUUCUCCAUGAAAAUGGGUUUUUUACAAUGGCAUCAAGUAAUGAGGAAGUGGUUCUCAACGGGGAUUUGUUAUAAUUAUAUUCUUUAGGGUUUGAAUUACACGAAGGCUUUUAAGGGCAUGUUUGGGAAAAUUUUCAAAAAUCAUUUUCAAGAAAUAGUUUUUGAGAAUAAUUCUUAAAAACAAUUCUAACUUACUUUCAAGAAAUUUUUUUUACUAGCAUAGAGCUUAAAUAUAAAAACAGUUUUCUUGGUUUAUUCUCUACAAAGAUACUGCUUAAAUACAAACAAGGUAAAAGUUUUCAAGGACUCUUUGUAUUUUCACUUAUUGCUUGAAACACCGUAAUAAAAAACAACCAAAAGCACCUCGAAAUUUGUCUGAAAGUACAUAAACUCACUUAUUAGCCUAUUUACAUAAAAUUAGUAGCUUUCAAAGAAUUUAUUAAAGCACUUGUUAACCAUACGCCUACAUUUAUUAUAAGUGGUGCACCUAGUGGCUUGCUUUGAAGAUGAUUGCUUAAGGUUCAUAUUUGCUUAAGUAACCUAAACCUCUCUUAUUUUUAUGGGCACUUCCUUUCUUAAUCAUCUCAUUCAAAAUCUUAAAGUUAGGAUAAAAGAUUUCAUUUUGAUUUGAUAGAUUCUUUUUCUAUUCAUCUAAAUCUGAAGUUUAAGAAUUUAUUCUUUUCAAACAUAAUAUGUUGAUGUUCAUAUUCAAGAAACUUAAUUCUUUCAAUUAAUCUUUUGUUUCAAUCGUAAGCUCUUUGAUCUUACCAUUCAUGUCAAUUUCUAAGAUUCAUAAGAAUUUAAUUUUUCAUUCAAAUCAUUUUUCUCAUAUUUAAAGCUUUUAAUAAGAGUGUUCCUUUUAUUCAAGAUUUUCUUUAAAUUCACAUUCUCAGCCUUUAAUUUAUAACUCUCUUGAUACAUGGCAUUAUAUGCCUCUUGAAGAGUGUCAAACUUUCCUUCUUCAUCACUUGAUUCAAUGAGAUUUUCAAUUUUAGAGGAUGAAAUAAGAGUGACAAUGAAGGCAACAAGAUGAUUGUUAUCAUCAUUUUUAGUUUAGCCUUUGAUGGAAUUAUGGUCAUCAGACUCGAAAUCACUCCAAGUCACUUGCAUAAAUUUCUCAUUCUUUUUUGGUGCAAGGCAAUUUGAAACAAAUUAAAUGUUUUUUCCCAUAGUUGAAACACUCAACUUGAGAUGAUUUUGACACACCUUUUUCUUUGUUUUUCUUGGAAUAAUAUUUAUUCUCUUUAUUUGAGUCAUCUUUUAUGUUUGCCUCCUUUUACAUUUUUUUUAUCAAAUGUAAAAAUUUCAAAUUGAUUGAGAACUUUUAAUAUCACUAAGAAAUUUUGUAGUCUUAAUAUAAUAAAACUAUCUAAAGGGGGAUGAAUAGGUAGUCUCUCAAUUAGCCUCAAAAUGUAAACUUUAUUACAAUUUUUUUUUCCUUUUACAUUCAUCAUUUGAUUAAGAGCAAAUAAUCUCAUAUAUAUAUAUAUAUAUAUAAAUAAAAUUGAUCGCACAAAUAAACAUAGGAUAUAACAUAAAAAAACUACCUAACAACCUACCAAGAGGAAAAAGCCAUUAGUGGU
RNAcentral lists this long non-coding RNA (3952 nucleotides) under Vitis vinifera (wine grape). RNAcentral's name for it is "long non-coding RNA (VVIN_LNC003635)". The record is from RNAcentral. Lineage: Eukaryota; Viridiplantae; Streptophyta; Magnoliopsida; Vitales; Vitaceae.